Molecule: ribosomal RNA, 384 nt
Filed under: Bathyphantes gracilis
Lineage: Eukaryota; Metazoa; Arthropoda; Arachnida; Araneae; Linyphiidae
Description: partial 16S ribosomal RNA
Source: RNAcentral
AAAAACAUUUCUUAUAAAAUUUUUAUAAGUAAAAUCUGCUCCAUGAAUUUAAAUAGCCGCAGAAUAACUGUGCUAAGGUAGCAUAAUCAUUAGUCUUUUAAUUUAAGACCAGAAUGAAUGAUUUAACAUUUUAAUUAAUUUUUUAAAUUAAUCAUUUUUAAUUUUAACUAAAAAUUAAAAUGUUUUUAUAAGUAAAAAAGACGAUAAGACCCUAUUGAACUUUACUUUAGUUAAGCUGGGGAAGCUAAUUAAAAAUAAUUUUAAUUAUUUUAAAAAAAUAAAAUUCCAAUAAAAUUGAAUUUAUCAAGUUACCAUAGGGAUAACAGCGUAAUAAUUUUUAAAAGUUCUUAUUAAAAAAAAAGAUUACGACCUCGAUGUUGAAUU